GCGCCAGUAGCUCAAUGGAUAGAGCACCAGCCUUCUAAGCUGUAGGUUAGAGGUUCGACUCCUCUCUGGCGUACAA
RNAcentral lists this transfer RNA (76 nucleotides) under Ignavibacteria bacterium GWB2_35_6b. Its description in RNAcentral is "tRNA-Arg". It matches the Rfam family "tRNA". From Rfam's summary of the family: Transfer RNA (tRNA) molecules are approximately 80 nucleotides in length. Lineage: Bacteria; Pseudomonadati; Ignavibacteriota; Ignavibacteria. The record is from RNAcentral.